RNAcentral lists this transfer RNA (72 nucleotides) under Camelus dromedarius (Arabian camel). It matches the Rfam family "tRNA". Rfam says of the family: Transfer RNA (tRNA) molecules are approximately 80 nucleotides in length. RNAcentral also lists the same sequence under 1 other name. The record is from Rfam by way of RNAcentral. Lineage: Eukaryota; Metazoa; Chordata; Mammalia; Artiodactyla; Camelidae.
GAGGGAAUAGCUCAGUGGCAGAGCACAUGCUUAGCAUGCACAAGGUCCUGGGUUCAAUGCCCAGCACCUUCA